RNAcentral lists this ribosomal RNA (780 nucleotides) under uncultured bacterium. RNAcentral describes it as "bacterial SSU rRNA". It matches the Rfam family "Bacterial small subunit ribosomal RNA", at positions 715 to 1505 of the family's 1533-position model. The record is from RNAcentral.
GCGAAGGCAGCGUACCGGCGCCACACUGACGCUGAGGCACGAAAGCGUGGGGAUCGAACAGGAUUAGAUACCCUGGUAGUCCACGCAGUAAACGAUGAAUGCUGGUUGUCCGGGUCGAAUGAGAUCUGGGCGGCGAAGCGAAAGCGAUAAGCAUUCCACCUGGGGAGUACGCCGGCAACGGUGAAACUCAAAGGAAUUGACGGGGGCCCGCACAAGCGGAGGAACAUGUGGUUUAAUUCGAUGAUACGCGAGGAACCUUACCCGGGCUCAAACGGGAGCGGAAUGGACCAGAGACGGUUCAGCCUACGGGCCGCUUCCGAGGUGCUGCAUGGUUGUCGUCAGCUCGUGCCGUGAGGUGUCGGCUUAAGUGCCAUAACGAGCGCAACCCCCGCCGGCAGUUGCUAACGGGCAAUGCCGAGGACUCUGCCGGGACUGCCGCCGCAAGGCGAGAGGAAGGCGGGGAUGACGUCAAAUCAGCACGGCCCUUACGUCCGGGGCGACACACGUGUUACAAUGGGCGGUACAGCGGGAAGCCAGGCGGCGACGCCGAGCGGGACCCGAAAGCCGUUCUCAGUUCGGAUCGGAGUCUGCAACCCGACUCCGUGAAGCUGGAUUCGCUAGUAAUCGCGCAUCAGCCAUGGCGCGGUGAAUACGUUCCCGGGCCUUGUACACACCGCCCGUCAAGCCAUGGGAGCCGGGGGUGCUUGAAGUGCGUCGCCGCGAGGCGCGCCCUAGAGCAAAACCGGUGACUGGGGCUAAGUCGUAACAAGGUAGCCGUAA